GACGGGGCCGAGCUGCAAAUCAUUUCCUUUCUGCAAGCUGCAGCGUGCCCCCAGCCAGCCACCGAGCUGGGGCUGUCCCUGCGCGGCUGCGUGACACCAGCGCGGAUGUCCCAGCAGGGGAAGGGGAAUUCAGACUCUGCUUCUUGCUGUACUAAAAGCAGUGACACGGUGGUGGCCCCAGCAGAGCACUGGGCCAUGAGGCUGGCAGCGUUGGAGCCGCAUCAUGCUGAGCCACUGGGAUAGCAGCUUGGGAGCACCAGGACACUGCAGCCCUCCAGGUCCCUGCGCACCCAGGACACGUUUCCUAUCUGGUGGAGAUGGCCAGGGGAAGCUGCUCUGCUCACUGCCAGCCUUGCCUAGAGCCGUGGUGGAGACCCAGCAGAGACAUGGUGCCCUUGGCUGCUCAGUAGUCGGUGUAGGAUCUGUCUGACGGUCUCACUAACAGCUACAUCUGAUUACUGGGUCACCAAAGGGUGACCAUACUGCACCUGCAGGAGCUGCCUUCUGGUCUGCUGGGUACAGGGCAACUGGGGCUUUCUGGGAGCAUGGUGGGGGCAGAGGGGAGCCCUGAUCCUUCACGGUGCCAUGAGGCUUUGGCUGCCCAGGAGGAGCUUUCCAGUCGCCAGAGAGUUAAUAAACACUCGUGGAGUGCA
Strigops habroptila (Kakapo) is the source of this 653-nucleotide long non-coding RNA. RefSeq lists it as uncharacterized. The transcript has 2 exons. The record is from RefSeq and is a predicted model, not a curated record. NCBI's taxonomy places the organism in Eukaryota, Metazoa, Chordata, Aves, Psittaciformes, Psittacidae.